CCCCGUUGCACCACCCGCUCAGUCAUCACACGGAACUGGAAAACUGAAGGUUGAAAUUCAAAAAGAACAUUGCUAAGUGCAUAUCAUGCAACUGAGAAUCCUAACUACUCUGGCUUUGCUAAUCAUAGCUGCCUUUCCAGCUGGAGAGGCAUGGCUCUUCAGAAGUAAGAUCUUUACAAUUUUAAUUAAAAA
Pocillopora verrucosa is the source of this 192-nucleotide non-coding RNA. Lineage: Eukaryota; Metazoa; Cnidaria; Anthozoa; Scleractinia; Pocilloporidae. The record is from RefSeq and is a predicted model, not a curated record.